CAGCCGCCACGGGAACACGGAGGGGGCUAGCGUUGUUCGGAAUUACUGGGCGUAAAGCGUACGUAGGCGGCUUUGUAAGUUAGAGGUGAAAGCCUGGUGCUCAACACCAGAACUGCCUUUAAGACUGCAUCGCUUGAACGUCGGAGAGGUGAGUGGAAUUCCGAGUGUAGAGGUGAAAUUCGUAGAUAUUCGGAAGAACACCAGUGGCGAAGGCGGCUCACUGGACGACUGUUGACGCUGAGGUACGAAAGCGUGGGGAGCAAACAGGAUUAGAUACCCCCGUAGUCCCUGUCUCUUAUAC
This 301-nucleotide ribosomal RNA is filed under the name uncultured bacterium. RNAcentral describes it as "partial 16S ribosomal RNA". It matches the Rfam family "Bacterial small subunit ribosomal RNA", at positions 509 to 807 of the family's 1533-position model. The record is from RNAcentral.